GGAAGGUCCGGGCGUUAUCCGGAUUUACUGGGUGUAAAGGGAGCGUAGACGGCAGUGCAAGUCUGAAGUGAAAGCCCGGGGCUCAACCCCGGGACUGCUUUGGAAACUGUGCAGCUAGAGUGUCGGAGAGGCAAGCGGAAUUCCUAGUGUAGCGGUGAAGUGCGUAGAUAUUAGGAGGAACACCAGUGGCGAAGGCGGCUUGCUGGACGAUGACUGACGUUGAGGCUCGAAAGCGUGGGGAGCAAACAGGAUUAGAUACCCUGGUAGUCCACGCCGUAAACGAUGACUACUAGGUGUCGGGGAGCAAAGCUCUUCGGUGCCGCANCCAACGCAAUAAGUAGUCCACCUGGGGAGU
Molecule: ribosomal RNA, 355 nt
Filed under: uncultured bacterium
Lineage: Bacteria
Description: bacterial SSU rRNA
Rfam family: Bacterial small subunit ribosomal RNA
Source: RNAcentral